UACAGAGGUCCCGAGCGUUGUUCGGAUUCACUGGGCGUAAAGGGUGCGUAGGUGGUGAGGUAAGUCCGAUGUGAAAUCCCGCAGCUCAACUGCGGAACUGCAUCGGAUACUACCUGGCUAGAGGGUUUGAGGGGGGACUGGAAUUCUCGGUGUAGCAGUGAAAUGCGUAGAUAUCGAGAGGAACACCAGUGGCGAAGGCGAGUCCCUGGAAAACUCCUGACACUGAGGCACGAAAGCUAGGGGAGCAAACAGG
Molecule: ribosomal RNA, 253 nt
Filed under: uncultured bacterium
Lineage: Bacteria
Description: partial 16S ribosomal RNA
Rfam family: Bacterial small subunit ribosomal RNA
Source: RNAcentral